CGAAGAUGGUGAAUGUGUUCCAUGGCCUGAGGGCAGGACAGACACUAUCUUCUACACUACUCUUGACUGAGAGCUAUGCCUGUGAUUAGAUGCGAUAAUAUACACGUGCGAAUAUGAUGCAGGAGUUAAGUAAAUGAAGAGAAGAAAAAGAGAAUUAAUAUUUAAUAUAUCAGAGGUACGUAAAAUCAUAGAGUCAUAGAGUCAUAGAGUCACAGAAUCAUAGAAUCAUAGAAUGGCCUAGGUUGAAAAGGACCUCAAAGAUCACUGAGUUUCAACCCCCCUGCUGUGUGCAGGGUCACCAACCACUGCC
Molecule: long non-coding RNA, 310 nt
Filed under: Gallus gallus (chicken)
Lineage: Eukaryota; Metazoa; Chordata; Aves; Galliformes; Phasianidae
Source: RNAcentral